Molecule: ribosomal RNA, 450 nt
Filed under: uncultured bacterium
Lineage: Bacteria
Description: partial 16S ribosomal RNA
Rfam family: Bacterial small subunit ribosomal RNA
Source: RNAcentral
GUGGGGAAUAUUGGACAAUGGGCGAAAGCCUGAUCCAGCCAUGCCGCGUGUGUGAAGAAGGCCUUUUGGUUGUAAAGCACUUUAAGCGAGGAGGAGGCUACCGAGAUUAAUACUCUAGGAUAGUGGACGUUACUCGCAGAAUAAGCACCGGCUAACUCUGUGCCAGCAGCCGCGGUAAUACAGAGGGUGCGAGCGUUAAUCGGAUUUACUGGGCGUAAAGCGUGCGUAGGCGGCUUCUUAAGUCGGAUGUGAAAUCCCUGAGCUUAACUUAGGAAUUGCAUUCGAUACUGGGAAGCUAGAGUAUGGGAGAGGAUGGUAGAAUUCCAGGUGUAGCGGUGAAAUGCGUAGAGAUCUGGAGGAAUACCGAUGGCGAAGGCAGCCAUCUGGCCUAAUACUGACGCUGAGGUACGAAAGCAUGGGGAGCAAACAGGAUUAGAUACCCGUUAGUCC